RNAcentral lists this ribosomal RNA (1347 nucleotides) under uncultured bacterium. Its description in RNAcentral is "partial 16S ribosomal RNA". It matches the Rfam family "Bacterial small subunit ribosomal RNA", at positions 22 to 1367 of the family's 1533-position model. The record is from RNAcentral.
GCUCAGGAUGAACGCUAGCGACAGGCCUAACACAUGCAAGUCGAGGGGCAGCGAGGAUGUAGCAAUACAUUUGUCGGCGACCGGCGCACGGGUGAGUAACGCGUAUGCAACCUACCCGACACAGGGGGAUAACCCGGAGAAAUUCGGACUAAUACCGCAUAAAACAGGGGUUCCGCAUGGGAAUAUUUGUUAAAGAGUUAUCGGUGUCGGAUGGGCAUGCGUUCCAUUAGCUAGUUGGUGAGGUAACGGCUCACCAAGGCCACGAUGGAUAGGGGUUCUGAGAGGAAGGUCCCCCGCACUGGUACUGAGACACGGACCAGACUCCUACGGGAGGCAGCAGUGAGGAAUAUUGGUCAAUGGGCGAAAGCCUGAACCAGCCAAGUCGCGUGAAGGAAGACGGUCCUAAGGAUUGUAAACUUCUUUUGUCGGGGAGUAAAGGCAGUUACGUGUAGCUGUUUGCAAGUACCCGAAGAAAAAGCAUCGGCUAACUCCGUGCCAGCAGCCGCGGUAAUACGGAGGAUGCGAGCGUUGUCCGGAUUUACUGGGUGUAAAGGGCGUGUAGGCGGCCGAUUAAGUCUGGAGUGAAAGUCCUGCUUUCAAGGUGGGAAUUGCUUUGGAGACUGGUUGGCUUGAGUGCGGAAGAGGUAAGUGGAAUUCCCAGUGUAGCGGUGAAAUGCGUAGAGAUUGGGAGGAACACCAGUGGCGAAGGCGACUUACUGGGCCGUAACUGACGCUGAGGCGCGAAAGCGUGGGGAGCGAACAGGAUUAGAUACCCUGGUAGUCCACGCUGUAAACGAUGAAUGCUAGGUGUUGCGGGUAUCGACCCCUGCAGUGCCGGAGUAAACGCAAUAAGCAUUCCGCCUGGGGAGUACGGCCGCAAGGUUGAAACUCAAAGGAAUUGACGGGGGCCCGCACAAGCAGCGGAGCAUGUUGUUUAAUUCGAAGCAACGCGAAGAACCUUACCAUGUCUUGACAUCGAGGAAAAAGAGUAGAGAUACUCCUAGCCUUCGGGCAUCCGAAGACAGGUGGUGCAUGGUUGUCGUCAGCUCGUGUCGUGAGAUGUUGGGUUAAGUCCCGCAACGAGCGCAACCCUUACGGUUAGUUGCUACGCAAGAGCACUCUAGCCGGACUGCCGUUGACAAAACGGAGGAAGGUGGGGACGACGUCAAAUCAUCAUGCCCCUUAUGUCCUGGGCUACACACGUACUACAAUGGCGGUAACAGAGGGAGGCAAUACAGCGAUGUGGAGCAAAUCCCUAAAAGCCGCCCCAGUUCAGAUUGCAGGCUGAAACUCGCCUGCAUGAAGUCGGAAUUGCUAGUAAUCGCGGAUCAGCAUGCCGCGGUGAAU